Molecule: long non-coding RNA, 474 nt
Filed under: Monodelphis domestica (gray short-tailed opossum)
Lineage: Eukaryota; Metazoa; Chordata; Mammalia; Didelphimorphia; Didelphidae
Description: lncRNA (ENSMODG00000037571.1)
Source: RNAcentral
AUCCUGCAUUCUUUCUCUUCUACUGCCUUCAUUCUGCCCGGAAGGAACCAGGUUCCUUUGGACGCGAAGCUAGUUAAGCACUUUGAGAAGCGUUCUCCUUCCCCCAUUGGUAUUGUGCUCCAGUUUGUGCCCAUGUGAGCACUUUGCAAAAAGGCAGACAUCUAACAGGAAAAAGGAAGCCAGUCUGAUUCUCACUGAAUGCUUUUCAACUGCAGAUGUUUUUGAUGGAUACCAUCGAUUUGGAAACCUUAAUUCAUUUAAACAUGAUUCUGAACUGCUCCAAUGACUUCAGAUGAAUUUGACACUUUAUCCAAAGGGAGUAAGGAGCAAUGCCAAACUUAGACCAUCUGGCUCCACUUCCGGAACUUUCUUCACUUUAAUAUUGUGACAAUUAAAGUCAAUAUACAAUAACUCAACUAUUACAUUUAUAAAAUUUAUUAAAAUAAAAACUAGAGUUAAAAAGGAGCUAACUCA